RNAcentral lists this ribosomal RNA (104 nucleotides) under uncultured crenarchaeote. Its description in RNAcentral is "partial 16S ribosomal RNA". It matches the Rfam family "Archaeal small subunit ribosomal RNA", at positions 366 to 472 of the family's 1478-position model. The record is from RNAcentral. Lineage: Archaea; Thermoproteati; Thermoproteota.
CCUGACAGGGUACUCUGAGUGAUUUCCGCUAAGGAGAUCUUUUGGCACCUCUAAAAAUGGUGCAGAAUAAGGGGUGGGCAAGUCUGGUGUCAGCCGCCGCGGUA